UCUAAAUCCCAUAAAUAAUGAGUGGCCGUAAAUAAGUUAGGGUAAGUUACCAUUUUCUCCCUUCCCCAUAUUACCAUUAUAUCCCUUUGUAUUUUUAAUCUUUUGCAUCAUUACCAUUACACCCCUCGACCUCACCCCUUGUUCAACCCAUUUCUUCCUCUUCCAUCAAACCCCACAACCAGUGCAACAAAAAUGGAUCUUUGGCCUAGCUAGCAUCUCUCCUCUCGAAAUGGAUCGAUUUCUCUGGAGGCAUGAUACAAGACCUCAACGAAGCUGAUCCGCUCGGAGAAACGGUGUCUCGUUAUGUUUCUGUUCAUAGCGUUCGAACGAAGAUGAUGAACGCUCCUCCGUAACCGUUUUUCUUCUUCUUCAGCUUCAGCUUCUGGUUUGCAAGGUUUCAGUUUCUGUUGCAAAUUGAGUUGGCUUUGGAAUUUUCUAUUGUGAGGAAAGUGGAUAUGCUUGAUGGAGUUUCCAUUGUGCGAUCUGAGAAGGUGAAGGAUGAGUUAGUUUUCGAUGGAAAUGACAUUGAGCUUGUUUCUAGGUCAUGUGCCCUAUCAAUCAGAAAUGCCAUGUUAAGAACAAGGAUAUCAGGAAGUUUCUUGAUGGUAUUUAUGUUAGUGAGAAGGGGACAGCAUUAAUAAAGAAGGCGUCUGUCAGCCGGUUCGUGAUGAUUCGUUGUGCGGGAAAGACCCGGAGCGGAACGACUAUUACUGAAGCUUUCGACGAGGACCCGGACUUCAUGCCUGAUCGAGGGAGGGUCGAUGAUAGUAGUGUGGGGUAUGGGUGGUUAGAGUCUUUUGGAGUUGGUUGUUACUGUAAUAGCUCUGAUUCGUUUUGCUUUUGGGACAGGGUAGGUUCCCGAUGCAUGGCUUUUUGUGUGGUUCUCUUACGGAGGGAUCACAGUGAGUCAGUCGGACCAUAGGGGUCUUUGCUUAGGCCAUUUUGAGGCCGACUUUCUCCUAGUGGUUUGUAAUUAUACUUUUUCUCACUCACACUUCUGGAUCUGUAAAUAUUUGCCUACGGGCACACUACUUUGGAGUCACUGCGAGUGUGUGUGACGUGGAAGUGCAGCUGAGGCUGUACAUGUUUAUAUUUGAUGUAUAUUGGUUAGUUUAGUAGUUGAGUUUUGUCUUUA
Molecule: RNA transcript, 1135 nt
Organism: Lotus japonicus
Lineage: Eukaryota; Viridiplantae; Streptophyta; Magnoliopsida; Fabales; Fabaceae
Exons: 5
Source: RefSeq, a predicted model, not a curated record